UAGAAUUCUCGCCUGCCACGCGG
RNAcentral lists this non-coding RNA (23 nucleotides) under Gallus gallus (chicken). RNAcentral also lists the same sequence under 1 other name. The record is from RNAcentral. Lineage: Eukaryota; Metazoa; Chordata; Aves; Galliformes; Phasianidae.